GUGAAAUUCCGUCGGAAUCUGGGAGGACCAUCUCCUAAGGCUAAAUACUCUCUAGUGACCGAUAGUGAACCAGUACCGUGAGGGAAAGGUGAAAAGCACCCCGGAAGGGGAGUGAAAUAGAACCUGAAACCGUGUGCUUACAAGUAGUCAGAGCCCGUUAAUGGGUGAUGGCGUGCCUUUUGUAGAAUGAACCGGCGAGUUACGAUUUGAUGCAAGGUUAAGCAGUAAAUGUGGAGCCGUAGCGAAAGCGAGUCUGAAUAGGGCGUUUAGUAUUUGGUCGUAGACCCGAAACCAGGUGAUCUACCCUUGGUCAGGUUGAAGUUCAGGUAACACUGAAUGGAGGACCGAACCGACUUACGUUGAAAAGUGAGCGGAUGAACUGAGGGUAGCGGAGAAAUUCCAAUCGAACCUGGAGAUAGCUGGUUCUCUCCGAAAUAGCUUUAGGGCUAGCCUCAAGUGAUGAUUAUUGGAGGUAGAGCACUGUUUGGACGAGGGGCCCCUCUCGGGUUACCGAAUUCAGACAAACUCCGAAUGCCAAUUAAUUUAACUUGGGAGUCAGAACAUGGGUGAUAAGGUCCGUGUUCGAAAGGGAAACAGCCCAGACCACCAGCUAAGGUCCCAAAAUAUAUGUUAAGUGGAAAAGGAUGUGGCGUUGCCCAGACAACUAGGAUGUUGGCUUAGAAGCAGCCAUCAUUUAAAGAGUGCGUAAUAGCUCACUAGUCGAGUGACACUGCGCCGAAAAUGUACCGGGGCUAAACAUAUUACCGAAGCUGUGGAUUGUCCUUUGGACAAUGGUAGGAGAGCGUUCUAAGGGCGUUGAAGCAUGAUCGUAAGGACAUGUGGAGCGCUUAGAAGUGAGAAUGCCGGUGUGAGUAGCGAAAGACGGGUGAGAAUCCCGUCCACCGAUUGACUAAGGUUUCCAGAGGAAGGCUCGUCCGCUCUGGGUUAGUCGGGUCCUAAGCUGAGGCCGACAGGCGUAGGCGAUGGAUAACAGGUUGAUAUUCCUGUACCACCUAUAAUCGUUUUAAUCGAUGGGGGGACGCAGUAGGAUAGGCGAAGCGUGCGAUUGGAUUGCACGUCUAAGCAGUAAGGCUGAGUAUUAGGCAAAUCCGGUACUCGUUAAGGCUGAGCUGUGAUGGGGAGAAGACAUUGUGUCUUCGAGUCGUUGAUUUCACACUGCCGAGAAAAGCCUCUAGAUAGAAAAUAGGUGCCCGUACCGCAAACCGACACAGGUAGUCAAGAUGAGAAUUCUAAGGUGAGCGAGCGAACUCUCGUUAAGGAACUCGGCAAAAUGACCCCGUAACUUCGGGAGAAGGGGUGCUCUUUAGGGUUAACGCCCAGAAGAGCCGCAGUGAAUAGGCCCAAGCGACUGUUUAUCAAAAACACAGGUCUCUGCUAAACCGUAAGGUGAUGUAUAGGGGCUGACGCCUGCCCGGUGCUGGAAGGUUAAGAGGAGUGGUUAGCUUCUGCGAAGCUACGAAUCGAAGCCCCAGUAAACGGCGGCCGUAACUAUAACGGUCCUAAGGUAGCGAAAUUCCUUGUCGGGUAAGUUCCGACCCGCACGAAAGGCGUAACGAUUUGGGCACUGUCUCAACGAGAGACUCGGUGAAAUCAUAGUACCUGUGAAGAUGCAGGUUACCCGCGACAGGACGGAAAGACCCCGUGGAGCUUUACUGUAGCCUGAUAUUGAAAUUCGGCACAGCUUGUACAGGAUAGGUA
RNAcentral lists this ribosomal RNA (1719 nucleotides) under Staphylococcus aureus. RNAcentral describes it as "partial 23S ribosomal RNA". It matches the Rfam family "Bacterial large subunit ribosomal RNA", at positions 426 to 2149 of the family's 2925-position model. The record is from RNAcentral. Lineage: Bacteria; Bacillati; Bacillota; Bacilli; Caryophanales; Staphylococcaceae.